This 107-nucleotide small nuclear RNA is filed under the name Cervus hanglu yarkandensis (Yarkand deer). Lineage: Eukaryota; Metazoa; Chordata; Mammalia; Artiodactyla; Cervidae. The record is from RNAcentral.
GUGCUCGCUUCGGCAGCACAUAUACUAAAAUUGUAAUGAUACAGAGAAGAUGAGCAUGGCCCCUGCACAAGAACGACACACAAAUUCGUGAAGCAUUCCAUAUUUUU